This 497-nucleotide ribosomal RNA is filed under the name uncultured bacterium. RNAcentral describes it as "partial 16S ribosomal RNA". It matches the Rfam family "Bacterial small subunit ribosomal RNA", at positions 28 to 507 of the family's 1533-position model. The record is from RNAcentral.
GAUGAACGCUGGCGGCGUGCCUAAUACAUGCAAGUCGAGCGAACAGACGAGGAGCUUGCUCCUCUGACGUUAGCGGCGGACGGGUGAGUAACACGUGGAUAACCUACCUAUAAGACUGGUAUAACUUCGGGAAACCGGAGCUAAUCCCGGAUAAUAUAUUGAACCACAUGGUUCAAUAGUGAAAGACGGUGUUGCUGUCACUUCUAGAUGGAUACGGGCCGCAUUAGCUAGUUGGUAAGGUAAAGGCUUACCACGGCGACGAUGCGUAGCCGACCUGUGAGGGGGAUCGGCCACACUGGAGCUGAGCCACGGUCCAGACGCCUACGGGAGGCAGCAGUAGGGAAUCUUCCGCAAUGGGCGAAAGCCUGACGGAGCAACGCCGCGUGAGUGAUGAAGGUCUUCGGAUCGUAAAACUCUGUUAUUAGGGAAGAACAAAUGUGUAAUUAACUAUGCACGUCGUGACGGUACCUAAUCAGAAAGCCACGGCUAACUACGUG